UGGGGAAUAUUGGGCAAUGGAGGCAACUCUGACCCAGCAACGCCGCGUGAAUGAUGAAGGUCCUCGGAUUGUAAAGUUCUGUGAAGAGGGAAGAAGAAAGUGACAGUACCUCUAAAGCAAGUCACGGCUAACUACGUGCCAGCAGCCGCGGUAAUACGUAGGUGACAAGCGUUGUCCGGAAUGACUGGGCGUAAAGGGUGCGUAGUCGGUUUGACAAGUUGGUAGUGAAAUUCCAGGGCUCAACCCUGGCGCUAUUGCCAAAACUGUUAAACUUGAGUGUGAGAGAGGUAAGUGGAAUUCCUAGUGUAGCGGUGGAAUGCGUAGAUAUUAGGAGGAACACCAGUGGCGAAGGCGACUUACUGGCUCAUUACUGACGAUGAGGCACGAAAGCGUGGGGAGCAAACAGG
Molecule: ribosomal RNA, 407 nt
Filed under: uncultured prokaryote
Also listed under: 1 other name
Description: bacterial SSU rRNA
Rfam family: Bacterial small subunit ribosomal RNA
Source: RNAcentral